UGCCAGCAGCCGCGGUAACACGAACCGUCCAAACGUUGUUCGGAAUUACUGGGCGUAGAGCGCGCGUAGGCGGCUAUUUAAGUCAGAUGUGAAAGUCCACGGCUCAACCGUGGAAGUGCAUUUGAAACUGGAUGGCUUGAGUACUGGAGGGGGUGGUGGAAUUCCCGGUGUAGAGGUGAAAUUCGUAGAUAUCGGGAGGAAUACCGGUGGCGAAGGCGGCUCACUGGCUCGAUACUGACGCUGAGGUGCGAAAGCGUGGGGAGCAAACAGGAUUAGAUA
RNAcentral lists this ribosomal RNA (279 nucleotides) under uncultured bacterium. RNAcentral's name for it is "partial 16S ribosomal RNA". It matches the Rfam family "Bacterial small subunit ribosomal RNA", at positions 506 to 784 of the family's 1533-position model. The record is from RNAcentral.